GAACCGGGUGCUUGCACCUGGGGAUUAGUGGCGAACGGGUGAGUAACACGUGAGUAACCUGCCCUGGACUCUGGGAUAACCCCGAGAAAUCGGAGCUAAUACCGGAUAGGACCUUUCCUCGCAUGAGGUUUGGUGGAAAGUUUUUCGGUCUGGGAUGGACUCGCGGCCUAUCAGCUUGUUGGUGAGGUAAUGGCUCACCAAGGCGUCGACGGGUAGCCGGCCUGAGAGGGUGACCGGCCACACUGGGACUGAGACACGGCCCAGACUCCUACGGGAGGCAGCAGUGGGGAAUAUUGCACAAUGGGCGCAAGCCUGAUGCAGCAACGCCGCGUGCGGGAUGACGGCCUUCGGGUUGUAAACCGCUUUUAGUAGGGAAGAAGGGCUUCGGCUUGACGGUACCUGCAGAAAAAGGACCGGCUAACUACGUGCCAGCAGCCGCGGUAAUACGUAGGGUCCGAGCGUUGUCCGGAAUUAUUGGGCGUAAAGAGCUCGUAGGCGGUUUGUCGCGUCUGCUGUGAAAACUAGAGGCUCAACCUCUAGCCUGCAGUGGGUACGGGCAGACUUGAGUGGUGUAGGGGAGACUGGAAUUCCUGGUGUAGCGGUGGAAUGCGCAGAUAUCAGGAGGAACACCGAUGGCGAAGGCAGGUCUCUGGGCACUUACUGACGCUGAGGAGCGAAAGCGUGGGGAGCGAACAGGAUUAGAUACCCUGGUAGUCCACGCCGUAAACGUUGGGCGCUAGAUGU
Molecule: ribosomal RNA, 744 nt
Filed under: Agromyces sp.
Lineage: Bacteria; Bacillati; Actinomycetota; Actinomycetes; Micrococcales; Microbacteriaceae
Description: bacterial SSU rRNA
Rfam family: Bacterial small subunit ribosomal RNA
Source: RNAcentral